AUGGGGAACAUGCUCACCGUCAUGCUUGGAACAACUGCAGUUGUGGAUCGUUGCCAUCCAAGGCAACUCCACCCACGAGCCACCAGCAGCAGCAGGAUAGCAGGCCAUCAGUUUGAACCGCUGAGCAUUCUGGCUUUCAGGGCUAUGUCUGAGCACAUAGGACGUAGUGAAGCGUUCUGUCGAAAGCAGAUAUCGAAUGGCCGGUUUCAACUGCUGACCAUUCUGGUUUGCGGAGCAAUCCGUGCCGAGGGAAUUACAGCAAACGAUCCGUUCAAACUGUGUGGCAUUCUCAUCUGUGGAGUUUUGUCUGACUACAUCGCUCAUGGCGCAGAGGAACCAGCGGUUGAUCUGCUUGGAGACCUUCCAGAGUUCAGAAUGGGGAACAUCCUCAACUUCACAACUACAGUGGCCGAUCAUUGCCAUCCAAGGCAACUCCGCAUAGGCAGCGGAACAGUAAGCCGUCAGCUCGAACCGUUGAGCAUUCUGGCUUUCAGAGCUUUAUGCAAGCACAUUCAACGGCAUGAAGCAUUCCAUCGAAAGCGGAUAGCCAACGGCCAGUUUCAACUGCUGAGCAUUCUGCUUUGCGGAGUAAUCCAUGCCAAGGGAAUAAUAGGGAACGAUCGAUGUAAACUGUGCUGCAUUCUCAUCUGUGGAGUUAUAUCUGACUACAUCCAUCACGGGCCAAUUGAUGCCAAUGAAUCAGCGAUUGAUCUGUUUGGAGACCUUCCAGAGGCACUGCACCAAAAUCUCGGCGUGCUGUGCACAAUUUUUUCAAAGUUGUCUCUGAAAGAGGCUGUAAGAACCAGUGCCGUAUCAAGGAAAUGGAGAUACUUGUGGACAGUUUGUCCUAAACUGAGUUUUGACGGAAGUACAAUAUGUGGCAACAACAGAUAUGGGAAACAAGUAUAUGCUCUAGCGUUCAUUCGCAUUGUUAAUAGGGUCUUGGCACAGUGCCGUGGCAAGUUGUUUGAAGAGCUUGCGAUCAAAAUUGAUUUGAACAGGAUGUUUGUUGAACACCUCAAUAAUUGGGUUCGUUUUGCUGUAUCAUCAAGUGCAAAGGCAUUAGUUUUUGAUUUAGCACCACAAGAGCAUCAACUUCCAGGUCGUGAUGGUCAGUACAAAUUCCCAUUUAAGCUUUUAGACAAGGACAGUGUACACCGUCUACAGAAAAUUCAUCUUAGCUUUGUAGAUUUCCAGCCACCAAUGCAGUUUAAUGGCUUCCCUAACCUACGGAAGCUUGACUUAAACUUAGUGAAUGUCAAUGGGAAGGAUAUUCCACAUAUGUUGUCAAACUGCUGUAAUCUAGAGUGGCUGAGUAUGGUUAGAUGCCAUCUCAAUGGUGAACUAAAGGUUAAUGGCCCGCUGCCUCAUCUACUGCACUUGAAACUUGUGUACUGCGAUGUAACAAGUAUAGCAUUCGAUACGGUGAAUCUUGCAACUUUUAUAUACAAAGGAAGGAAGGUGCCUAUUGACCUCAAUAAAUCAUUAGAACUGGUAUGUGCAGAUAUAUGGUUUUCUACAGUCACUUUUGAGCGCGCCAUUACUUUACUUGGUAAAGUGCUUAAAAAUGUGCAACAUCUAACCCUCGACAUGGACUGUAAACCACCAGAGAUUCCCCGUUUGAUGCAUUACCGAUGCAUGUUUUCUAGAAUGACAUAUUUGCAAUUGAGGUUGGUCUAUGUCGAAGGAUUGGAUGUCUUAUCCUUGGUCUCUUUUCUGAGGUCUGCUCCUUUCAUUGAGAAGUUAGAGCUGCACUUUUGUUUCCCUGGUUAUAUCCAUUUGGUACAAGAACCUGAAUCUAUCAGGAAGCUACCGGAGUGUCUGUUCAACAACUUGAAGAGUUUGCAUGUUACAGGAUUUAAAGCAUGCACUGGCCAAGUUGAGUUCCUUAUGCAUAUGGUGGAAAAUGCCCCUGCAUUGGAAGGUUUAACUAUAGAUCAAUCAGAAAAAUAUCUCCUAGAAGGUCAUAAAAAGGAUGCGAAAACGGUUAUUGACCUGGUCCAUAGAACUGCUAAAAAGUAUCUUGAAGGGAAGAUUUCGCCCAGGUGCAUCUUAAUGUUACUUUAA
Molecule: ribosomal RNA, 2067 nt
Filed under: Triticum aestivum (bread wheat)
Lineage: Eukaryota; Viridiplantae; Streptophyta; Magnoliopsida; Poales; Poaceae
Description: partial small subunit ribosomal RNA
Source: RNAcentral